RNAcentral lists this ribosomal RNA (551 nucleotides) under Phocoenoides dalli (Dall's porpoise). RNAcentral's name for it is "partial 16S ribosomal RNA". It matches the Rfam family "Bacterial large subunit ribosomal RNA", at positions 1884 to 2597 of the family's 2925-position model. The record is from RNAcentral. Lineage: Eukaryota; Metazoa; Chordata; Mammalia; Artiodactyla; Phocoenidae.
CACUUGGAGCAUAACUAGUAUAAGAGGCACCNCCCCCCCAGUGACUUAAUCGUUAAACGGCCGCGGUAUCUUGACCGUGCAAAGGUAGCAUAAUCACUUGUUCUCUAAAUAAGGACUUGUAUGAAUGGCCACACGAGGGUUUUACUGUCUCUUACUUUUAAUCAGUGAAAUUGACCUCCCCGUGAAGAGGCGGGGAUAAUAAAAUAAGACGAGAAGACCCUAUGGAGCUUUAAUUAAUCAACUCAAAAGAAAUCACAAAACAAUACCACCAAGGGAUAACAAAAUUUUAUAUGGGUUGACAAUUUCCGUUGGGGUGACCUCGGAGCACAAAAAAUCCUCCGAGUGAUUAAAACAUAGGCCUACUAGCCAAAGUGUAACAUCACUUAUUGAUCCAAAUUCUUGAUCAACGGAACAAGUUACCCUAGGGAUAACAGCGCAAUCCUAUUCUAGAGUCCAUAUCGACAAUAGGGUUUACGACCUCGAUGUUGGAUCAGGACAUCCUGAUGGUGCAGCAGCUAUUAAGGGUUCGUUUGUUCAACGAUUAAAGUCCU